AUUGAACGCUGGCGGCAUGCCUUACACAUGCAAGUCGAACGGCAGCACGGGUGCUUGCACCUGGUGGCGAGUGGCGAACGGGUGAGUAAUACAUCGGAACAUGUCCUGUAGUGGGGGAUAGCCCGGCGAAAGCCGGAUUAAUACCGCAUACGAUCUACGGAUGAAAGCGGGGGACCUUCGGGCCUCGCGCUAUAGGGUUGGCCGAUGGCUGAUUAGCUAGUUGGUGGGGUAAAGGCCUACCAAGGCGACGAUCAGUAGCUGGUCUGAGAGGACGACCAGCCACACUGGGACUGAGACACGGCCCAGACUCCUACGGGAGGCAGCAGUGGGGAAUUUUGGACAAUGGGGGAAAGCCUGAUCCAGCAAUGCCGCGUGUGUGAAGAAGGCCUUCGGGUUGUAAAGCACUUUUGUCCGGAAAGAAAUCCUUGGCCCUAAUACGGUCGGGGGAUGACGGUACCGGAAGAAUAAGCACCGGCUAACUACGUG
Molecule: ribosomal RNA, 486 nt
Filed under: uncultured bacterium
Lineage: Bacteria
Description: partial 16S ribosomal RNA
Rfam family: Bacterial small subunit ribosomal RNA
Source: RNAcentral